Molecule: ribosomal RNA, 228 nt
Filed under: Salmonella enterica
Lineage: Bacteria; Pseudomonadati; Pseudomonadota; Gammaproteobacteria; Enterobacterales; Enterobacteriaceae
Description: partial 16S ribosomal RNA
Rfam family: Bacterial small subunit ribosomal RNA
Source: RNAcentral
AAAUUGAAGAGUUUGAUCAUGGCUCAGAUUGAACGCUGGCGGCAGGCCUAACACAUGCAAGUCGAACGGUAACAGGAAGCAGCUUGCUGCUUCGCUGACGAGUGGCGGACGGGUGAGUAAUGUCUGGGAAGCUGCCUGAUGGAGGGGGAUAACUACUGGAAACGGUGGCUAAUACCGCAUAACGUCGCAAGACCAAAGAGGGGGACCUUCGGGCCUCUUGCCAUCAGA